RNAcentral lists this long non-coding RNA (1296 nucleotides) under Macaca fascicularis (crab-eating macaque). Its description in RNAcentral is "lncRNA (ENSMFAG00000050438.1)". Lineage: Eukaryota; Metazoa; Chordata; Mammalia; Primates; Cercopithecidae. The record is from RNAcentral.
UUUUUUUUUUUUUUUCUUUUCCCAGUAUCACAUGUGACUCAAUUGCAGUAUCAGGGAGAGCUUUCUGAUGCUAAGAGUUGAGUUUGGAAGGAAGAUGCCCUUUACUCAGACGGAGAAGGGUGGGAAUGCGGUUACAGUCAGAUCAGCAUAAGCAAAGGCACUGAAAGGUGAAACGAAUAUGCUGGGAACAGCAAGAAUUUUGGCAGUCGAAUUUAUUUAUUUUUUCAUUUCUUACAUAUUAGAGACAGGGUCUUGCUCUUUCACCCAGGCUGGAGUGCAGGCGCAAUUAAGACUAACUGCAGCCUCGACUUCCUGGGGUCAAGCUAUCCUUCCGCCUCAGCCUCCCGAGUAGCUGGGAAUACAGGCGCGAGCCACCACGCCCCCCCAGCUAUCCAAUUUAACGUGCAAUUCGAGGCAGGAUGCUGUGGUUCACACCUGUAAUCCCAGCACUUUGGGAGGCCAAGGCGGGUGGAUCACCAGAGGUCAGGAGUUCGUCAGCCUGGCCAACAUGGUGAAACCCCAUCUGUACUUAAAAUACAAAAUUAGCCAGGUGUGGUGGUGCAUGCCUGUAGUUCUAGCUACUCUGGAGGCUGAGACAGGAGAACUGCUUGAACCCGGGAGGUGGAGGCUGCAGUGAGCCGAGAUGGCACCACUGCCCUCCAACGUGGGCAACAGAGCAAGACUCCGUCUCAAAAAAACAAAACAAAAUAAAGUGCAAUUCGAGAGUAUCAAGGAAUACAGUUGUAGUGAUGGGCUGGGAGGGCUAGGUUAAGGAGGAGGGCCUGAUGUGCCAUGUUAAGACGCUCUGUUUACAUUCCGUAGAGACAACAGUGAACCGUUGAAAGCUUUUAAAUAGAGGCUUAUUUUGGUUGUGUUUGUGUUUUAGGUAAAUUACUCUGCUUUGCAAUAUAAAGGAUUAAAAGAUAAAACUAGAAUAUCACAAUAAUCUGGGUGAGAGGUGAUGAGGAAUUAAACUGGGGCAGUAAGAGUAGGGAUUGAGAAACUAAAAAUCAUCCCAACUAAUAAUCAGACUGUAAUGUACACAUACAAGGCCAGGGACAAGGCCAAGCAAAAAAUGUUCCUCACAAGGAUACAUUACAGCUGUAAAAUGACUAACAACCUCUAUCUUUUGAGUGACUGAAUAGAUUCCUUGGCCUAGCUUUGUUCCGUUGUCCUCCAAAUUAAAGUUGCUAAGAUACUCAAUUACUAAACUGCCUUGCUUCCCCUAAUCCCUCCUUAGAAUUACUCAACUGAUACCCAAACUCUGCAUAAAACCUCACCCUAAUCUCUCUUAUA